GGGGAUGUAGCUCAGUUGGGAGAGCGCCUGCUUUGCAAGCAGGGGGUCGCCGGUUCGAAUCCGGUCAUCUCCACCA
RNAcentral lists this transfer RNA (76 nucleotides) under Candidatus Rokuibacteriota bacterium. RNAcentral's name for it is "Candidatus Rokubacteria bacterium tRNA-Ala". It matches the Rfam family "tRNA". Rfam says of the family: Transfer RNA (tRNA) molecules are approximately 80 nucleotides in length. Their secondary structure includes four short double-helical elements and three loops (D, anti-codon, and T loops). Lineage: Bacteria; Candidatus Rokuibacteriota. The record is from RNAcentral.